UACGUAGGGGGCAAGCGUUGUCCGGAAUCAUUGGGCGUAAAGAGCGCGUAGGCGGCCCGGUAAGUCCGCUCUGAAAGUCCAGGGCUCAACCCUGGAAAGCGGGUGGAUACUGCCGGGCUAGAAUCCGGAAGAGGCGAGUGGAAUUCCUGGUGUAGCGGUGGAAUGCGCAGAUAUCAGGAGGAACACCAAUAGCGAAGGCAGCUCGCUGGGACGGUAUUGACGCUAAGGCGCGAAAGCGUGGGGAGCAAACAGG
This 253-nucleotide ribosomal RNA is filed under the name uncultured bacterium. RNAcentral's name for it is "partial 16S ribosomal RNA". It matches the Rfam family "Bacterial small subunit ribosomal RNA", at positions 524 to 776 of the family's 1533-position model. The record is from RNAcentral.